RNAcentral lists this long non-coding RNA (352 nucleotides) under Gallus gallus (chicken). Its description in RNAcentral is "long non-coding RNA NONGGAT003761". Lineage: Eukaryota; Metazoa; Chordata; Aves; Galliformes; Phasianidae. The record is from RNAcentral.
ACAUCCAUUGCUUGAAAAAAAAGAGCAACAAAGGCAGCCUCACCCGUUCUGCUUAAUGGAAAAAAUCUAUUGCCUGUGCAGGCAGUGCCUGAGCAUUCCCUGGGAGACUGCUUCCUGGCACAGGUCAAACUGUGCAAGAGACUGUGCUAGAAGUUAAACAGUGUGGAUAACCAUAAUUUAGCGAUGUAACUAAAGGUAUAGUCCUACUUAUCUUAUUAGUAUAGAUGGAGACAUUCAGUUCAUGCAAUCGUUGAUCUGAACCUAUGUGCAGAUACCCAAAGCCAACAGAAAAGGAAGAUGCACCUUUCUGAAAAGCCAGGCUACUGUAAAAUGAGGAACGCAAAAAGAAGUA